GUUAACGCCGUCGAGCGGUCGCGGCGAGCAGGUUCGCAGCGCGCCACAUAAUCUCUCUCUGUGUGUCUCUCUCUCUCUCUCUCUCUCUCCUUCGGAGAAGACACGUUAACUUCUAAAGUCUCUCCCCGUCUCUCCCCUCGCUCGCAGUCUCCUCCUCGCGACUAGGCCGCGCGCGUUCGCACAAUGCGCGCCGGGACGACAAUCGAGCCCGCGGGCAAACACACGGAAAGAGCCACUUUCCCUCUCUCUUCCGGCUCUCGCCGCCAAUGAAAUAUACGAUUACGAGCCGCACGAGGAGCAGAGGUCGAGUAGGGAUCCAUAGAUCACCGAUCGGAAGCGGAGGGAGUCCCGUCGUCAAUGGGAUCGGCGUCACUUCGGGUUACAAAAGGCGCAGGUUCCACUGGCGCGCUUGCAGGGGCUCGUUAACCCUAAAGGCGGGCUCGCCGGUCCCUUCUCAGGUUGCCCAGGUGGGUCGCAAUGGGAUACCAGGAUCGAGUGCUCGAUCAGUUUCCUCGGAGCUUCUCGCGAACCUCGUCUUCUCUCCGCUCCGUCGUCCACGUUGACGUCGCGCGAACGUCCACGAUCGCGUGCUUCUUUUUGUUUCCCUCUCGCCUCCGGUCCUCUCGCGUCGUCUGGAACGUCGCGCGGGCGUUGACGCACCGGAAUGUGGAAUAUGGAACGAUUCCGCGGAGAAAACCGUCCAGCCUACGUAACUGACUCCACGUCCGCAAAAUGACUCAUCUUUGCCUCAGCGACGGAAUCAUCGGCACGAUCCGACCAACUUUGUAGGUGAACCGAACGAAGCUAGAGCGAUCACAUCGUCACGGCCACGAGUCCUCGACCCGCGAGGAGACACGAAAACGGUGCAUCACGUGUACUCGCGACCUUGACUUCCCGCGGCAUCGGAACGCUAAGAGGUUUACCUCGGUAAACCCUGGUAUCUCGGGAUACCACUCGGGGUCUCGGUCGAGGGAUUAAGACGGGGUUGUUGAGCAGCAGGACGACACGGCGGACGGGGCGAGAGAUGGCGGUGACGCUGACGGAGGCCGAGACCGAGACAGAGACACAGAGACGGAGACGGAGACGGAGAAGACGCGGGGCGAGAAUGAGAAAGGGAAAGGAGACUGUAACCGUACGCCCGUAUAAUUGAUUGAGUCUAAUGAGUUAAAGAGGAUGUGCUACGGUCGCUCGAUGGCAAAAAUUAAAGAGUCCCGUCUGGGUCAUGAAGGCGACAGCGGAAGGCCGCGGAACAGAGAAAGUACGGGAACUUGGCUACUUCCCUCUCACCCCCGGCUGACCCCCCUCCGUCGUCCCCGCGCCCCCUUUUCACCGCUGCUUCUUCCGGCAUCUCAUUCGGCGUCCACGUCGACCGUUGGCGCGGGAAGCGUUGAUUGUAAAUUAGUUAAAGGAGAUGCUUCAUUAGGCGGAGACCGUCUCGCGCCGCUUCUUGAGGGCCGCGCAGUCUCCCUGCGCGUUUAGCUGUUUUUAAAGGGGCUCGCGGCAUAAUAACCGGCGCUCCGCCGCGGAGGCCGCUCUCAAGCAAUUACGUAACUCCGUAAGAGACGGGAUGAAACGAGCUACGUUUUAUUAUCGGCGAGAUGACGACGACGACGACGACGACGACGACGACGACGACGACGAAUGGAGUUUUUCAGUCACGCGAUCGCCGGUUUCCACGUUUCGCUGAUUUUUAUUCCCGGCAAGGAUGAGGUCACGGUCGAGAGACGGGAUAUGAAUAAUACGAGAGCGAGAUACGCGAUAAGGAGUAUGCGCGGCAUUAUACUCGACAAUUAUUACAAGAUAUAUUUGUAGAUCGUCUAUCUCAUCGCAUUCACGUAUUUUUUCGACAUGACGUUACUUUCUUAUUGCGUCUUAUAUAACGAUGUAUCUGCAACACAAUCUAUUACGAAUCUCCUUGACUUCUCCUUACAUGUAUAAUAUAAUCAUUGGACCGACGGACAAGUAACGGGACACUCGAUGAAAAAUUAGAAGAACGUCAAUUAGUUGAUCGAUGAAGUAGUAGGGGUACCCAAAAGUAAUCAAAUAUUUGAAAAUAAAUUCCAAAUGGAGUAAUUUCAGAAAGAUAGUUUCAAAACGGAUGAAUAAAACAUGUGAAAAUUCACACCUAAACCUUCCAUUUUUUAAGUCAAUGAUAAGUUAAGUGUCUCAUUCACAAAUCACACUCUAAGAAAAUACUGUUUAUAUACUACAUAGCUCACACACAAGUAGAAAUCGAUAGGAAUAAAAUUCUUCUAAAUACACUUGAUUGCUUGUGGACAGCCGUAAUAAUCAAGUCUCGAAUUUCGCAAAAUCUCGUAACUUAAUACCGAUAUCGUCGAACGGAAGAGGAAAUGAACGCCUCGCGAGACCAUAGCUCGACGCUUGAGAGCAUCGAAUCCGCUCCGAAGCGAAUUACGGAGUUCGCCCUUCAUCGGAGCGUUCACGCGCUCAUCUCGUCUACGCGAUAUUACUUUUCGGCAGGCUCGCGGGUUUCGCGGGCGCCAGCUCGCUCGCCGACGUCUUUUCAAUUUGCAGCGAGAUGAAAAAGGUGGCAACGGCGAGCCGAGAGAUAGCUGGAUAGCGAGAGAGUCGCGGGCGCGAGGGGAAAACUCGUGGACUAACGCGGCGCAGCGUGCGGCGGGACGGAGGCGCCGUCGUCGCGGUGUCUUCCGCAUCCCCUAGGGAAAUUAUUGACAGUCAGCGAGGAAAUGACGUCGUAAAUACCACGCCAAGGCGAAGCCGCCGUUGCCGUCGCCGUCGCCGUCGCCGCCGCUCGCUUUUCUGCUCCUCCACUUUCUCUCCUCUUUUUCCUGCUUCUCUACGUUCUUCAUCCUCUCCGUACAUGUGUUUUCCCCGCCUCCUUUCGUGCGCCACGCGUGUGCGGCGCUAAUCCUAGCGGACGUUGUUUCCAACACGCUCGCGCUCGCGGAAAAAUAUGCCCGCGCCGCGUCCACACAGCCGGCGUGAUGCAAGCCUUAACACGCGGUACAAUUAGGUUGCCAAUGUUUUCUAACCGUACAGAUUAUUCCUUGGACAUUAAUUUAGGAUUCUCCCAGCGACAGAGAUCGCUGCUUAGACACAUUUCAGCACCAGCUCCCGUUUCAAGGCUACAACUACCA
This 3119-nucleotide long non-coding RNA is filed under the name Harpegnathos saltator (Jerdon's jumping ant). RNAcentral's name for it is "uncharacterized LOC112590422". The record is from RNAcentral. Lineage: Eukaryota; Metazoa; Arthropoda; Insecta; Hymenoptera; Formicidae.